This 409-nucleotide transfer RNA is filed under the name Salmo salar (Atlantic salmon). RNAcentral describes it as "lncRNA (ENSSSAG00000115979.1)". The stretch from base 321 to 392 matches the Rfam family "tRNA". Lineage: Eukaryota; Metazoa; Chordata; Actinopteri; Salmoniformes; Salmonidae. The record is from RNAcentral.
GUCAGAACAGGUCACACUGAACAAACAGGUCAGAACAGGUCACAAUAAACAGGUCAUCAGAACAGGUCAACAGGUCAGAACAGGUCACAGUGAACAGGUCAUCAGAACAGGUCAGAACAGGUCACACUGAACAGGUCAGCAGGUUAGAACAGGUCACACUGAACAGGUCAUCAGGUCAGAACAGGUCACACUGAACAGGUCAACAGGUCAUCAGAACAGGUCACGCUUAACAGGUCAUCACAAUCAUAAAAAAAAAAAAAUUGUGAACAUUUCUAACCUUUUUCAGGGGUGGGUCAAUAUCACUGAAGUGUUAUUUUUUGUCCCGUGUAGCUCAGUUGGUAGAGCAUGGUGUUUGCAACGCCAGGGUUGUGGGUUCGAAUCCCACGGGGGACCAGUAUGGAAAAAAAUG